CAACAGUACCAGGUCUACUCUACAGGAGAACAACAGUACCAGGUCUACUCUACAGGAGAACAACAGUACCAGGUCUACUCUACAGGAGAACAACAGUACCAGGUCUACUCUACCAGUAACAGGAGAUCCAAUCAGAGGACACGUUUGUUGAGUAUUGUAAGGCAUCUAUUCCCUAUGUGGUGCUCUACUUUGGACAAGGGCCUUUUUGGCUUCCUAUUCCUAGGGAAUACUUUGACUUAUGGGACACGACCUAUUACUUCUGGCUAAUAACAUAUAUUAUAUAUAUUUUUUAUAUUUUAUAGAUAUUUCACAUGGAAUUGUGUGAACACAUAAUUAUCUAACUGUCUAAGACAAAUCUAUUUAAAUGUGCUUUUAUUUCAGUAUAACAGCCAACAAAAAAAGAACCCCAAAAUGUUUGUUUUUUUGUACAACAGUUCUUUAUUAAAGUACAUUAUUUAUGUUAAAUUAGAGACAGUGACCAUCCUUACAUGUCUAGAAAUAUACAUACUAUAUGAAUAACUGCUAGGAUCAUAACAUGGACGAUAUAGUCCUGAAUAACAUGGAGGGUACUGUACUGAAUAACAUGGAGGGUACUGUUCUGAAUAACAUGGAGGGUACUGUACUGAAUAACAUGGAGGGUACUGUACUGAAUAACAUGGAGGAUACUGUACGGAAUAACAUGGAGGAUACUGUACGGAAUAACAUGGAGGGUACUGUACUGAAUAACAUGGAGGAUACUGUACUGAAUAACAUGGAGGGUACUGUACUGAAUAACAUGGAGGGUACUGUACUGAAUAACAUGGAGGGUGCUGUACUGAAUAACAUGGAGGAUACUGUACUGAACAACAUGGAGGGUACUGUAGUGAAUAACAUGGAGGGUACUGUAGUGAAUAACAUGGAGGAUACUGUACUGAAUAACACGGAGGGUACUGUAGUGAAUAACAUGGAGGGUACUGUAGUGAAUAACAUGGAGGGUACUGUACUGAAUAACAUGGAGGCUACUGUAGUGAAUUUUUUUUCCCUUGGGCAAACUUUGUCAAUAUUGUUGCAUCUAAAAUGUUAUUUAUACUCUUUCUGUAUUUAAAUACAUGUUAAUAUAUAAUAUGCUAUUCUGA
Molecule: long non-coding RNA, 1115 nt
Organism: Oncorhynchus gorbuscha (pink salmon)
Lineage: Eukaryota; Metazoa; Chordata; Actinopteri; Salmoniformes; Salmonidae
Exons: 2
Source: RefSeq, a predicted model, not a curated record